UUUUUUUUUUUUUUUUUUUUAACACUUAAAAUUUAAGUAAUAAAAUUAAGCAAUAAACAAAAGAUAAUUAAGUAAAACAAAAAUAUAAACAACAAGAUGAUUAAGUAAAACAAAAAUAUCAAACAAAAACAAACGAACGAAGUUGCAAUUUUUCUUUUUCCCAUUUUUCAUUUUUUAUUUUUCCUUUUUUUCCUUUAAAUAAUGAAAUUAAAUCCUAAACAACUAAAACAUAUUUUUUGGAACACUUUUCUUUUUCCUUUGAGAAAUUCUAGCUAAAAUGGAUAAAAUAACUAAAACUAAAAGUAAAUACAAAUAAAAAUAGAACAAAUAAAAAUGAAUAGUAAAUAAAUAAAUAAAUAAUAAAACACCAAAAAUUUGGUGUCUACACCUGUAGCAAAAGUUGUUAAAAAACUAGUAACUAAAAAAUUUGGUAAAAAACUAGGGUGCCAAACAAGCCCAUAAAUGUGUCAAAGAAUUUCUCGUGAAAGAAUUUAAUUAUCAUAAAACAUUUAAAAAAAUUAUUUCUUUUAAGUAAUUUUUAUUUUAUUAACAAAUUCUUGUUAUGCAUUAAUUGUUACUGAAAAUAAAAAUUAAAUACUAGUGUCAUUAUUUUACUUAGUCUGAGUGAAUUGCUUGAGUUCACCCUUGAUUUUUGAAUGCUCAGUUCGAAAAGUUGCCCAAGUAUGCAACUCGCUCUAAUGGUCAAAGGGGAAAAAAGUCAUUAGCUUAGGAAAAUAACAAAACGGGUUCUAGCUAGUUUUAUCGGUUCUCAGUAAAACACACAAUUUUCGCCCAAGUUUUUGAUGGACAAUUUUUGAAGUAAGUUUGGACUAAAUAUCUAACUGAUUCCCAAUUCGACCGAUCGAUCCUGUCCAAAUUUAAAAACAUAAAUUUGGAUACAUUGUCCCUAAAAGAUUCCAAAGCAUAAAUAGGUUACAUAAGAAUUACAUGACAACAUAGGGGAACAAAGAAUUUGGGAGGAUUCUUACACAAUUCGAAUUAGGAAGAUGAUUUGUAAAAAUGAUCGGUAGAAAUUGAGCGUGAGGCCCAAGCAACCUAAAAAGGGGUGAAUUAGGUUGACAAAAAUUAUAGCAAGUAAAGACCAAAUUUUCAUCCAAUAUUUAACCAAAAUAGUUUAAGUAAACAAGCACUCAAACAAAUACAAUAACAAGAGAUAUAAAAAAAUUAUGCCACACAAACAAAUAACAAAAAAAGAACAAUAAAGUAAAAGGAUUGCAAACCAAUCAAACUCCCAAACUUGGAGUUAAAUCAACCAAGUAGUUUCUUCAAUUGAUGGUAAUACUAAUCAACUUGUACAAGUGAAGGCUCACUCCUUCCUCACCCUAAAAGCCUUUACUUGAUCUAAGAAGUUUUACAACUCUUCAAGUUAACCCUCAACUAGUUACAAUUGAAAGUUCACCCAACAAAUUAAGAGUUACUUUACAAGUGAGGGUCAUCUUCACAAAGGUUUUACUUCUCCUUUUUGAGAAAUCUCAUAAACCCAACUUUUUCCACACCUAUACAAUAAUUAAAGUAUAUUUCUACCUAAAUAUUACUCUUAAAAGCUUAUAUUUUGUGUAAGCAAAAGUCCCUCAUAUUUUCAAACUUGGGGGUAUUUAUAGGUGAUGAAAAUUGGUGUUGAAAAGAGUUCAACGGUCAAGCAUUAAAUGCUGCAAAAACUAGUCGUUAGACCUAUCAGACAUCCAAUGCUUGAUUCAUCAUCUGAUACAUGUGUCCGAUACUUUCAAAAGAAUUUUUUAUUAAAUUCUUUGGACGGCUGAUCCCUUGAAGUAGUGUUUGACAACCUUGCAUCCAAAAAAACCAGUAUGUUCAAGUUACAUCUUCUUUUGUGUUGGACGAUCGAUAGGAAAGAUGAGUGUCUAAUCAAAAUGUUUGAUGUGUACUCGCUGAUUGAUCCUACCGUUCGACAGACAAUAUUGCUUUUCAAUCCUUCUUGAUUUGUUUUCCUCCUUUUUCCAUUGAACUAAGAACCUCUGCUAACAAAAUUCUUACAUAAAAUCAUUAGUCCAAAUCAUCAUUUUUUUUAGUUAUCAUCAAAACCAAGGAUUGAUCAACCUAAAUCUUCAGAAAGUAGUGAAAAGGAAUUAAAGGGAUGCAUAAAACUACCAUGCCCAUAAGCAUCUCAAUGGUCAUUAGCUUGUGCAACUUACAACACACAGCAUAUGCUUUCAAACUCGUCAUAAUUCUUGGCUAGGGUUUGGCUUCACAGUUCCCUCGAGUAUGUUUGAUUUUGAUGGGAAAUCGACUUUCACGCCUUAAUGGCUAGAGUUUUUAUGAAGCCUUCAAUCUAGAAAACACAAAGAUUUUAAGUUAAUUCAACAUUAGAGAUUGUUCUCUCUCUAUUGGCUGGUUUUUAUUAUUUUCUAUUUCUUUGUUCCCUCUGAGCAUCUCUUUGCUAGUUAAAAAUGGUAGAAUUUCAUUAAAUACUCUCUACAUCAAGAAGUCAUUUUGACCUCUUUUUAGUCUAGUCCCUGCGGAUGAAAACUAUAUAAAUUUCACUAAUGACUCAAACAAAAAGCGCUUCUUCAAAUGUCAUCACUACUAAGAGGAAUAUCAGGAUUUGAAGGACAACUUCUUCCAUCCAAGCAAUAGUAUAUAAUGGAAAGAAGGACUUGAGAAGGUCGAGUUGACACUGGAUGAUAAAUAUCUGCCGAGUCAUUAUAGUCUUGGAACAAAAUUAAGAGCAAAAUUAUGUGCACGAUUGGAACAAAGAGGGACAAGGCAAAAUGGAAGAACAACAACUUGGUCAUAGUAGCUUGUAUGUAGAAGCCCCAACCGAUAGGAGGGUAAUUAUCAGACAUCUCCCUUAGGGCCACUAUAAAUAAGAAUGAAUGAAGACUCAACCAAUGUUAGAGUAAGAAACAAGAAUUUCUUUAGAAAUUAAAGUAACAGAAAGCUUCACAUUAUAUUAAAACAAGAGCCUAAGUUGCUACAUAAUAGAUAAGCUUUAUAAUCCCAACAAGUUUUUAAUAGAACAGAAAUUAGACACUAAGAAAAGUAGGGAAAGAAAAAAUCAGCCUAAGCUUCAUUAGAUGGCACCACCACCAUAGAGGCAGAGAAAAAGAUGAAGGGUUGACUUCUUCUGGAUUUAAAUUGCUUCCCAGCGAAAAUGAGCCACUACUGGAUGAGAGGAAUUCCUCAUUAAUAUUGAAUUUUGGCCUUGACACUAUCAAUGCUGUCAGAGCUCUCAACUUCCAAGGUAAUCAUCUUGCUAGUUAAGGUUUUAAGAAAGAUCUACAUACCGCCAUGAAGCCUUAGGACGAGAUGAAGAGUCAACUCCUUCUAAAUAUUAUAGUUAGCUAGGGUUUUGUUGUCCUCGAGCUGCUUGCCAAUAAAGAUUACACGUUAUAGAUUCGGUGAAAUCCCCUUAUUAUCCUGAAUCUUGGCCUUCACAUUGUCAAUGGUGUCGAAAGUCUCAACCUCAAGAGAGUUACCAUCUUGCUGGUUAGGGUUUUGAUGCAAAUUUGCAUACUACUACAGAAAUGGAGAAAAAGGUGAAGGGUGGACUCCUUUUCGAUACUGUAGUAAACAAGGUGAAUAGUAAUGUGUCCAGAAUUUGGCUUGAUGACUGGAUUGGUCUAGGUCCCCUUAGAAAUUAGCAAUAAUCUUGGUUCAUAUAUUGUACAAAUUUCAACUGCAUCUUGCCUAUAAAUAGAGGGACUUCAAAAGUAUUUUUGGGUAAUUUUGAUAAAUGAAAGUUGUUCUCAAGAAUAUUUGAAGUGUUUGUAUGGUGAUUUAAAACAUGAAAAAAGGGUGAAAAUAAAGAUUUGACGGGUAGAGUGUGUUGGAGGUUCGGGUGUGUGAGGAACAGGAAGAGGAAAUGAACAAAAAAAUGAAAGUUCAUGUUUUAAAGAUGGUCAGUAGAGAUCUGUGAGGCAGAUCCGCAAGGUACACCUCAUGGGUUUGCCUAGGGGUGGCAAUUUUCGACACGACCUGAAAACACGACACGAACCUAACACGAAAUUAAUGGGUUUGGGUUGAGAUUUCGGGAAUUCGGGUCAGAAUCGGGUUGGACCCGAUGAACCCGAAAAGAAAACAGGUCGAUUUCGGGUCAACCCAUGGUGACCUGAUAUGACCCGAUAUGACCCGUUUACGAAUUAAAAAUAAUUUAAUAAACAUAAAAAUAAUUUUAUCUAACUAAACUAAGUUAUUCUUUUUUUCAAAGGCAUUAAUUACUUAAUCCUAAAUGAAUUAUUUAAUUUGUGUGAAGUUGAAAUUAUUAUAUUUGGACAAAUAAUAUAUUAUAUUAUUUUUUACUUUUAUACUGUUUUAAUUUAUUUUAUAUUUUGUUUGGAAUAAAACACUUUUACGGUGUUUAAUUUAUUUUAGAUUUGGUUUGGAAUUAUUUAUUUAAAAUUUUAUUACUUGAUUAUGUAAUUAGUUUUGUGAGAAAUUGAUUUUAUUAGAAAUUACAGUGAUAAAUUAAUAAAUUAAAAUUAAGUUUCGGGUCAUUUCGGGUCGACCCGCCAACCCGUCAACCUGAAAUUUUCGGGUUCGGGUCAGCAUACCUGACCCGUCACGGGUUGGCGGGUCGGGUUCGGGUCAACAGAUUUUCUGACGGGUUGACCCGAACCCGACCCGCCAACCUGAUUUGGACCCGAAUUGCCACCCCUAGUGUCGCGCCCCACUUUUUUUUUUGGAUGUUUAUAGUAGCUUUAUGGGUCUAAAUGGGACUUUUGAAAAUGCGACGAUUUGACCCAAGAAAAAUAGUUCAAAAAGGGUUUUUAUAUGAAAAAUGGAGUCGCCACUUGGUAUAGAGUUAGGGUGUACCAAGUCACCCAAAAAAUGAAUUUUUUAAAGAAAAAAGUAAGAAAACCCUUUUUAAACGACUCCUAGUCCACGUAAAACAAAGAAAAAGGUUCGGGAGUCACAUUUGACGAAGGGGAAGGCAAGGAUAAAAAUCCAAGGCACCCCUUCGACCUAACCAAGACUAGUUGCGUGAUUUAACCCUUAUUUUCCUAUAUUUUCUACCCAAAGUAUGUAUUGCAAAUUGGAUUUGACUAAUGAAUGAGAAAUGCAAUCCUAAGUCUAAGAAAUGUUUCUUAUGAGGCUUUUGGUCCCAUUCACACGAGUCGUGACGGCCAAUAAGGAAAGUCCUCAUAGAAAAUCAUGAAUGAUGCAAAUGAGGACUCAAAUGAGAGUGUAAGUGUGCAAAGUGUAGAAAAAAGUGCAUGUGUGCAAUUUGAAAGUGUUUGUGUGCAAAUGAAUGAAAUAUAAAUGCUCGUGUGCAAGUGAAUGAAAAUAGUAAAUAUAUAAGUAAAAUAGGUGCAAUGUGUGAAGUGAAAAGUAAAGAAAGUGAAUAAGUGUGUGAAUAUGACAUGUGGAUUUAAAAUAUAUAAUUAGUGAGGAAAAUAGUGAGAAAAUGAUAUGAAAAUGCAUGAACUUAGAGGAAUGCAUCAGGUCGGGUACGGGAAUGACAUCUAGUUUUUGUGAUUUUAAUUUUCCCUUUGAUUAGAAGGAAAAACUAGCGUGCUAAGGCUAUUUUGAAGCCACACUCGCUCGUUUCCCUUACCCAAGGGGGUUUCUCAGGCAAAUGGACCCUAUAACUAGCAUGAAAUGCAAAGGCCUAAAAUGAAGGGAAAGGGAAUCGGGGGCAUGCAAAAAAUGACAAAACUAAAAAGAAUGCAUGACAUGUAAUGAACAUACAAACAUGUACUAACGAGGGGAAAUCCCUAAGGGUCUAGCGUUGGACUAGCCCAUUCUAUGAAUUCCGACUAGCGUUGGACUAGUGGAAACGUACAUUCAUCCAUUCCAUUCAUCUACACUACAGAAAGCUAGUAGACAUGCCAAACGUUCGUAAACACAUAGCACAUAACAUUUAGCAUGCUCGACUAGAUGCAAGGGCCUAAUAAAGCAAAUUAACAUGUAGCAACAAAGGUAAGCAACCAAACUAAUAAAUCUAUUACAUUUGCUAGCUAGGCACACGUCUUCAAUAGGUCUUCAUCAAAUGCUUCUCCAAGCCCUAUCUAUUACAAGCUAAGAGGUGUACACAUACCCCAUAAAGAACAACUUAAAUAAAAGUAAAAAUAAAUGAAAUAAAUGCAAGGAAUUAAGGAAAGGCAAGGAAAGCGAAAUAGACAUGCAUAUUCACAUAACACGUAGGAGCACGUAGGGUCAAAUGAAGUGCAAAUAAGGGAUAGAAUGUACCUCCCUUGAAUCGAUGCUCUAAUGAAGUGAAAUUAUUAAAUUACCCUCCAAAAUAAUAAAAAGGUCAAGG
Molecule: long non-coding RNA, 6238 nt
Filed under: Coffea arabica (coffee)
Lineage: Eukaryota; Viridiplantae; Streptophyta; Magnoliopsida; Gentianales; Rubiaceae
Description: long non-coding RNA (CARA_LNC005364)
Source: RNAcentral